UGGGGAAUUUUGCGCAAUGGGCGAAAGCCUGACGCAGCAACGCCGCGUGAGUGAUGAAGGCUUUCGGGUCGUAAAGCUCUGUCAAGGGGAAAGAAGUGUAUUAUGGUUAAUACCCAUGAUGCUUGACGGUACCCCUACAGGAAGCACCGACUAACUCCGUGCCAGCAGCCGCGGUCAUACGGGGGGUGCAAGCGUUGUUCGGAAUUAUUGGGCGUAAAGCGCGUGUAGGCGGUUUGUUAAGUCUGAUGUGAAAGCCCCGGGCUCAACCGGGGAAGGGCAUUGGAAACUGGCAGACUUGAAUACGGGAGAGGGUAGUGGAAUUCCUGGUGUAGGAGUGAAAUCCGUAGAUAUCAGGAGGAACACCGGUGGCGAAGGCGGCUGCCUGGACCGAUAUUGACGCUGAGACGCGAAAGCGUGGGUAGCAAACA
This 428-nucleotide ribosomal RNA is filed under the name uncultured prokaryote. RNAcentral describes it as "bacterial SSU rRNA". It matches the Rfam family "Bacterial small subunit ribosomal RNA", at positions 355 to 774 of the family's 1533-position model. The record is from RNAcentral.